GGUGGUCGAUGUUUUUGGGUCUAAAGGCUUCGUAACCGGGUUGGUCAAUUUUCCGGGAAAUUCCACGGAUUUAACGUUAGGCUUUCGGGGGAUACUACCUGGCUUGGGGCCGGGAGAGGUAAGAGGUACUCCGGGGGUAGGAGUGAAAUCUUGUAAUCCCCGGGGGACCACCAGUGGCGAAGGCGUUUUACCAGAACGGGUCCGACGGUGAGGGAUGAAAGCUGGGGGAGCGAACCGGAUUAGAUACCCGGGUAGUCCCAGCUGUAAACGAUGCUGGCUAGGUUCAGGGACGCUGCGACCCUUUCUAGUGCC
Molecule: ribosomal RNA, 312 nt
Filed under: uncultured Methanomethylovorans sp.
Lineage: Archaea; Methanobacteriati; Methanobacteriota; Methanomicrobia; Methanosarcinales; Methanosarcinaceae
Description: bacterial SSU rRNA
Rfam family: Archaeal small subunit ribosomal RNA
Source: RNAcentral